Molecule: long non-coding RNA, 218 nt
Filed under: Setaria italica (foxtail millet)
Lineage: Eukaryota; Viridiplantae; Streptophyta; Magnoliopsida; Poales; Poaceae
Description: long non-coding RNA (SITA_LNC003027)
Source: RNAcentral
UCACAAAUUUCCAAAUUAUAGAUGUUAAAUAUUCAACAAGGACUCUUGAAGGAAGAAAGAGUAGCGGCAAUAUGUGAAGGUCUCAUUGGAUUCCUAAUGGACGAGGUGGUAGAUCCAAAAGGAGAAUUUUAUUACGAUGGACGACAAUUAGACACUCCGAUCAGCAACACCUCAACGGGAAGAUUGUAGAUAGAUACUUUGAUUUAUUUGUAUAUAUA